This 1356-nucleotide long non-coding RNA is filed under the name Bos indicus x Bos taurus (hybrid cattle). RNAcentral's name for it is "lncRNA (ENSBIXG00005027921.1)". Lineage: Eukaryota; Metazoa; Chordata; Mammalia; Artiodactyla; Bovidae. The record is from RNAcentral.
CCCUCCUGGCACAAAAGGGCGUCUUCCCCCUGCCCCUCCUGUCACAAAAGGGCACCUUCCCCCUCCCUCUCCUGGCACAAGUGGCCAUCUUCCCCCUCCUCCUCCUAGCACAAAAGGGCGCCUUCCCCCUCCAGGCACAAAAGGGCGUCUUCCCCCACCCCCUCCUGGCACUAUAGGGUGUCUUCCCCCUCUGUCUCCUGGCACUAAAGGGCGCCUCCCCUCUUCCCCUCCUGGCACUAAAGGGCGCUUUCCCCCUCCCUCUCCUGGCACUAAAGGGCAUCCUCCCUCUCCCCCACUUGACACAAAAGGGCACCUUCCCCUUCCUGUUACAAAAGGGUGCCUUCCACCUCCUCCUGGUACAAAAGGGCACUUUCCACAUUCAACUAAAACAACCGCAACCACACCCACUACUACUGUUACAAAAUCCACUACCAUCUCAGAACCCACCACCACAACAGCAACCAUCACUUCUACAGAGCCCACCACUAUAGCAUUCACCAUUUCCUCUGAACCGACCAACACAACUAUAACCACUUCCACAGAACCCACCACCAUAGUAACAACAAUCACUGAUACAGAAUCUGCCUCCACAGCAACUAUCCCUUCUACUGAAUCUAUUACCAUAACACCAACCAUAACCACUACCACUGAAUCCUACAUCACCUCUACAGAAUCUGUGACAGAAACAAUCACUGCAUCCACAGAGCCCACCAUAAUAGAAACCACCACUCUUUCCACAGGGUCUGCAAGCACAGCAACCACCACUACUUCCACAGAAUUCUCCACGGCAACCUUCAUUACUUAUACAGAGCCCAUCACAAUAGAAACUACCACCACUGCCUCAAAAUUCACCAAUAAAACAGCAACCAUCCCUACCACUGAGCCCAACAGAGCAACCGCCAUCACUUCAAAUGAAUCUGCCACCAUAACAGCAAGCAUCACGACUUCCACAGAACCCAAUAUCACUUCCACAGAAUCCUCCACCACAGCAACCAUCAUCACUACUACAGAACCUACCACAAUAGUAGCCAAUACUGUUUCCAUUGAACCCACCACCGCAGCAACCACUUCAGCUGAACCUAUAACCACAACAGGAAACAAUACAACUUCCACAGAAUCUACCACAGCUGCCAUCAUUAUUUCCACAGAACCCAACAAAAUAGCAACCACCACUACUCCCAUUUAUCCCUUCACCACAGCAACCACCAUCACUUCUACAGAACACACUAUUACAACUACCAGUAUACAAUCCAUAGAAUUGCUUACCACAGCAACCAUCACUACUACUACUACAGAACACACAACCACUACUUCUUCUAGAGAACCAACCACCACAGCAAUCACAAGUUCAACUGA